UUUUUCCGGAGAAACCAAGAAUAUCAAAGAGAGAUAAGAUCUGAGCCCGAUUUUACUCGGGAACUUUGUCAGUCAGCGCAUCGGAUUAUGGAGCUGUAAGCAGACUUCGUUAUGGGUCGGAGUUGAUUUCGAGAUCGUUGGAGCAAUUGAUCUGUUUUUUUUUUGGUAGUUGACAGUAGCAAUUCUUAUGUGAAGCUAGCAACUUUGAGUCUGGAUCUGCUGAUUAUAUAGAAUGCUUUUUGGAAAAGAAUGGUUUUGAUGUUGAUUCAUUGGUUGGUCCUGUGAAAUUGUAUUCCUUGGUUGAUUGUAAGUUAUACUGUGGAGCUUGGUCUAUGGAGCUUCUAUGGUUGCUACAACAGCGCGCACCACAGGGAGGCUAGAGCUUGUGAGAAGCUUUGAUUACACAGAGGAGAACAUAGAAGACCUGCCUGCUAUUAGUUUCGUUUGAUGUUGUGUUUGACGCCAUUGGUAAGCACAAGGGAAAACAUCAGAGUUCCUCCCUCACCGUCUAACUCAGGGAAUGAACGCUGCGAGGAACACACGCAAGCAGGGAUGAUAUUAUUGUUGUCUCGGGUCUUGCUGGAACCGUCUAGUAAGCGUGGUUGAUAAUGGACGGAGCUUGCAAAUUGAGUGAGGAAGCUGACAUUGUUUUUGGUUGUGUUAGCUGUUGAAGCCAAUAAAGAAACUAGCUGAUGCAAAGGAAAAAAGGAACUUUGUACGUUUAGAUUAUUAUGUGAGUUCUUCAUCGUUGGUUCAGACAUGGCUUGCGAGUGAGGUGCGGGUGAUUUGAAGUUAAUAUCCGUUCUUUCCACUUUCCAGUGGUUUGCCCACAUCAGAACAUGUUGUUGAUAUAGAGGCACUGAAGUAGUCACCUCCACUAGAUCUUGUUAUAAGCGUUUUCUCCACAGAAAACAACUUUUAAAAGAGGAUGGCUGUGUCAAGAACCAUGGAUGCAGUCUGAUGAUGUACGUUCUGGAAGAACUGCCAGUAUGUAUGCUUUUUUUUGUUGGCUUUCUCAAAAGUCAUACUGCUAAACCUGGAACGAUCUUACGGUGUUAAUGCCCUUCGUUGAUAUAUGCAUCUUUGGGGAACCAAGUUUAUCAUGAAAACGGAGGAUGAUGCCUUUGUUCAGUGUAACCGUGUUGAUGAAGUACUACCUUCUUUUCUCAGUGAUCAACAACACUCGCCGGUUAUUAUAUGAACUGAACAAUUCCGACUCGAUACCCUGAUGGCAAAUGAUACAUUAGUUACUGCCCACAAUGGACGCAUGGUCAACAUUCCUACUUGUCUUGCACGGAGAGAAAUUCGAAAAAUAACCGCCCCUUCUUCCUCUUCUCUGUACUCCAAUGGCGAAUCCCAUUCCUAAGGUUGCUGUCCAAGCUGUUGGUGAUUACGAUGAUGAGAUACUGACUUACCUGCGAGUACUGUUUGCUGAGGUGAACUACGUAGCUAUUGCUCUAGCUCGUGAAAGGGCAAGUAAGAAGGGCAAAGGAAGGAAGAAGGACCCACCACUGACUAAGGAGCAGCUAAUAAGGAAGAAGAAAAUGGAUGAAAUCAAAAGGAUUGAUCGGAAGAUUAAAAAUGCUAGAGUCUGACUGUGUUACUUUUAACACAGUUGAAUAAAGGUGACCAUUAGCCAAAAAAAUAUAAGUGAAGACGUUUGACUAAGUCACCACUACAUAUAUCUGGUAUCUAGAAGUUUGAAACUCUUUCUCACAGAUAAAUGCUAUUGGUAUUUUGCAUGUGUUGUCCACUAUAGUGUGACAUGUUUUGUUAGAUAAAAUGGUCUGCACUUGUCAACAUUUUACCAAAAAGGUCUUUCCUUGGCUUUUAAGUUUAGUAAUAUACUAUGAUAGAAAGAGAAUCUUUUAUAGGUC
Molecule: long non-coding RNA, 1877 nt
Organism: Brassica napus (rape)
Lineage: Eukaryota; Viridiplantae; Streptophyta; Magnoliopsida; Brassicales; Brassicaceae
Exons: 6
Source: RefSeq, a predicted model, not a curated record